UACGAGGGGGGCAAGCGUUGUUCGGAUUCACUGGGCGUAAAGGGUGCGUAGGUGGUGAGGUAAGUCGGAUGUGAAAGCUCGGAGCUCAACUCCGAAAUGGCAUUGGAAACUACCUUGCUCGAGGGUUGGAGGGGGGACUGGAACACUUGGUGUAGCAGUGAAAUGCGUAGAUAUCAAGUGGAACACCAGUGGCGAAGGCGAAUCCCUGGAAAAUACCUGACACUGAGGCACGAAAGCUAGGGGAGCAAACAGG
RNAcentral lists this ribosomal RNA (253 nucleotides) under uncultured bacterium. RNAcentral's name for it is "partial 16S ribosomal RNA". It matches the Rfam family "Bacterial small subunit ribosomal RNA", at positions 524 to 776 of the family's 1533-position model. The record is from RNAcentral.